CGGGAUCUUGGGGGCGAGAUG
Molecule: microRNA, 21 nt
Filed under: Salmo salar (Atlantic salmon)
Lineage: Eukaryota; Metazoa; Chordata; Actinopteri; Salmoniformes; Salmonidae
Description: ssa-miR-193-5p
Gene: ssa-miR-193-5p
Source: miRBase by way of RNAcentral